UUCACCACCACUCCUGAUUUUCCUCAAUUUUAUUUAUUGACCUCUACCAGAGAGGCUUUGGAAGACUGUCAUAUAAAUAUUUGCUUUGAGAGGAAACAUCAAAAAGAAACAACACAAAACAAUCCUAACAAACUCCUCGACCCCCACACUUAAGUCUUGUCUUAGGCAGUAAAGCCUAAAACAACACACAUUUUCCUUCAAGCCCCAGCAGACAAUAGCAAAUCCAGUUUGUUCACCCACACCGGCUGCAUUUCCUUUGGGAAAUACUUCAUGCAUUGACAGAAUAAACACUUGACUCAUCCCAGCAACACGGAGCACACACACAAGCCUCCAGACACGCCAGGGAUCCUCAGGCUUGCAAAACACCCCGUAUACAGUUACAUUUUGGCAAGUCCUGUUCAUUAGAAGCUCAGCUUUGGCGAGUGCUUUUAAUCAACAGUACAUCUGUCAGGGACUCGGUGCAAAACUCCCCCGCGGCACACAAGGAAGAAAUUCUUGCUUAUUUUCCAUGCUUCCUUCCCCGAUUUUUUGCCAACCUCUGAAAUUACAGAAGGAGAAAGCGUGGCACCCCGACACUCCGCCCAGCUGACGGGGCUGGACAGCAGGACACCGAGCGGCAGCUCCACGGGCAGCGCGGAGGCGCUGCUGAUGCUGGUUAUUCUAUCCCGGCAGGACCUGGCCCGCGGGCCGCUGGCCCCCAAGGGAUCCCCCAGGGCUCCGCUCCCUGAGGGGCCGGGCGGGAGCUGCGCUGUCCCCUCAGGGAUCUCUCUGUUCCCGCCCGGCCCCGCGCUGUCCCCUCAGGGAGCUCCCGCCGCCCGGCCCCGCGCCUGCGCAGUGCGCACGGCGCCAUCCGGGUCCCGGCGGCCAUGGCGACGGUGGCGGAGCUCAAAGCAGUUUUAAAGGACACUCUGGAAAAAAGAGGAGCUCUUGCCCAAAUCAAAGCGAGGAUCAGAGCUGAAGUGUUCAAUGCCCUGGAUGACCAGAGCGAGCCGCGGCCGACGCUAUCCCGGGAGAACCUCCUGAUCAAUGAGCUCAUUCGGGAAUACCUGGAGUACAACAAGUAUAAAUACUCAGCAUCUGUUCUGACGGCAGCAGACCUCUCCUGUAUGGAAUUCUCUCUCAUUUCUUACACGGUGGUAAAGAAGAAAGUACCCAGAAUAUCCUUCCAAAAGUGUCCUUGCUGAAUUAUCCAAAGCAGAACCUUGGCAAACCACUUGCUGAGAGAAAUCAAAAAGACAGAAUUCCAGAACCAGGAAGGAUGGCUGGCAUGAGCAUCGAAGAGCCUCUCAUUUUACAAAGUAUAAAGAGAUGAUAUCUUUCAUUUUCUAAUUUCUCAUUUCAAGGUCUGUCAGAUUUAAUUUAGGACAUUCUUCAUUUCAUACAUUUCUCCAAUAAAUCCAGUGGGACCAUUUUAGCUUGUAACAUCUACUCAUGAGACAGGAUGACAAGGUCAUACUUACUGUCAAUCUAAAAAUGUUAGAAGGAAGACUGUAUAGGGACUCACAUUAGUGAAUCCUGUGUCUAGAAUUGCACCUGAAUAUACUGAGUUUACCCAAUAAAUUUUUAUAUAAUAAGUUAUAAUUUUUACAUUUAUAUCUUUGUGUGUUUUCCCUGUGUUUCUGAAUAAAAUUUUUCAAUUUUA
Haemorhous mexicanus (house finch) is the source of this 1642-nucleotide RNA transcript. It is a transcript of the gene named centrosomal protein 20, with no coding region annotated. NCBI's taxonomy places the organism in Eukaryota, Metazoa, Chordata, Aves, Passeriformes, Fringillidae. The transcript is spliced from 4 exons. The record is from RefSeq and is a predicted model, not a curated record.